This 274-nucleotide ribosomal RNA is filed under the name Sceloporus chrysostictus. RNAcentral describes it as "partial small subunit ribosomal RNA". Lineage: Eukaryota; Metazoa; Chordata; Lepidosauria; Squamata; Phrynosomatidae. The record is from RNAcentral.
GUUUUGGUCCUAACUUACUGCUACUUUUAUCAAAUUACACAUGCAGUAUCCGCACACCAGUGAAAUAGCCCAAUCAGUAAAACGGAGCCGGUAUCAGGCACAAAAUUCAGCCCAAAACACCAAGCUACGCCACACCCACACGGGUUUUCAGCAGUGAUAAACAUUAAGCAAUGAGCGAAUAGCACUUUAAAGCUCGACUUAGUUAUGAUUAACAGGGCCGGUCAACCUCGUGCCAGCCACCGCGGUUAUACGAGGGGCCCAAAGCAGCAAACCU